RNAcentral lists this ribosomal RNA (451 nucleotides) under uncultured bacterium. RNAcentral describes it as "bacterial SSU rRNA". It matches the Rfam family "Bacterial small subunit ribosomal RNA", at positions 328 to 794 of the family's 1533-position model. The record is from RNAcentral.
UGGCCAGACUCCUACGGGAGGCAGCAGUGGGGGAUAUUGGACAAUGGGGGGAACCCUGAUCCAGCGACGCCGCGUGAGUGAAGAAGUAUCUCGGUAUGUAAAGCUCUAUCAGCAGGGAAGAAAGAAAUGACGGUACCUGAGUAAGAAGCCCCGGCUAACUACGUGCCAGCAGCCGCGGUAAUACGGAGGAUGCGAGCGUUAUCCGGAUUUAUUGGGUUUAAAGGGUGCGCAGGCGGUCUGUUAAGUCAGCGGUAAAAGCCCGGGGCCCAACCCCGGUCCGCCGUUGAAACUGGCAGUCUCGAGUUGGAGAGAAGUAUGCGGAAUGCGCGGUGUAGCGGUGAAAUGCGUAGAUAUCGCGCAGAACUCCGAUUGCGAAGGCAGCAUGCCGGCUCCACACUGACGCUGAGGCACGAAAGCGUGGGUAUCGAACAGGAUUAGAUACCCCAGUACU